Molecule: ribosomal RNA, 221 nt
Filed under: Klebsiella pneumoniae
Lineage: Bacteria; Pseudomonadati; Pseudomonadota; Gammaproteobacteria; Enterobacterales; Enterobacteriaceae
Also listed under: 5 other names
Description: partial 23S ribosomal RNA
Rfam family: Bacterial large subunit ribosomal RNA
Source: RNAcentral
GGUUAAGCGACUAAGCGUACACGGUGGAUGCCCUGGCAGUCAGAGGCGAUGAAGGACGUGCUAAUCUGCGAAAAGCGUCGGUAAGGUGAUAUGAACCGUUAUAACCGGCGAUGUCCGAAUGGGGAAACCCAGUGUGAUUCGUCACACUAUCGUUAACUGAAUACAUAGGUUAACGAGGCGAACCGGGGGAACUGAAACAUCUAAGUACCCCGAGGAAAAGA